GAUGCUCUAACCUCUGAGCUAAGUGGGC
This 28-nucleotide transfer RNA is filed under the name Leymus chinensis. Its description in RNAcentral is "partial tRNA-Thr". The record is from RNAcentral. Lineage: Eukaryota; Viridiplantae; Streptophyta; Magnoliopsida; Poales; Poaceae.